This 401-nucleotide ribosomal RNA is filed under the name uncultured bacterium. Its description in RNAcentral is "bacterial SSU rRNA". It matches the Rfam family "Bacterial small subunit ribosomal RNA", at positions 358 to 776 of the family's 1533-position model. The record is from RNAcentral.
GGAAUCUUAGACAAUGGGGGCAACCCUGAUCUAGCCAUGCCGCGUGUGUGAUGAAGGCCUUAGGGUCGUAAAGCACUUUCGCCGGGGAAGAUAAUGACGGUACCCGGUAACGAAGCCCCGGCUCACUCCGUGCCAGCAGCCGCGGUAAUACGGAGGGGGCUAGCGUUGUUCGGAAUUACUGGGCGUAAAGCGCACGUAGGCCGAUCGGAAAGUUGGGGGUGAAAUCCCGGGGCUCAACCCCGGAACUGCCUUCAAAACUAUCGGUCUAGAGUUCUGGAGAGGUGAGUGGAAUUCCGAGUGUAGAGGUGAAAUUCGUAGAUAUUCGGAGGAACACCAGUGGCGAAGGCGGCUCACUGGCCAGAUACUGACGCUGAGGUGCGAAAGUGUGGGGAGCAAACAGG